UUCCUGCGGCUAGACGGAAAGACCCCGUGCACCUUUACUACAGCUUUGCAGUGGCAUUAGGAAUGUUCUGUGCAGGAUAGGCGGGAGCCUUUGAAGCGUAAGCGUCAGUUUACGUGGAGGCAUCCUUGAGAUACCGCCCUUGAUGCUUCUGAUGUCUAACCGCGCCCCGUGGAUCCGGGGCCGGGACCCUGCAUGGCGGGUAGUUUGACUGGGGCG
RNAcentral lists this ribosomal RNA (216 nucleotides) under Isochrysis galbana. Its description in RNAcentral is "partial Bacterial large subunit ribosomal RNA". It matches the Rfam family "Bacterial large subunit ribosomal RNA", at positions 2067 to 2281 of the family's 2925-position model. The record is from RNAcentral. Lineage: Eukaryota; Haptophyta; Isochrysidales; Isochrysidaceae.